Molecule: transfer RNA, 66 nt
Filed under: human oral metagenome
Rfam family: tRNA
About the family: Transfer RNA (tRNA) molecules are approximately 80 nucleotides in length. Their secondary structure includes four short double-helical elements and three loops (D, anti-codon, and T loops).
Source: RNAcentral
UCUUAGCUUAGUUGGUAGAGCGCCUGCUUUGCACGCAGGAGGUCAGGGGUUCGACUCCCCUAGAGU